AAACAAACAGAAAAAGAAAACAAAGAGUCAGAGAAAGAUAUAUAUGU
RNAcentral lists this non-coding RNA (47 nucleotides) under Trypanosoma brucei brucei. Lineage: Eukaryota; Euglenozoa; Kinetoplastea; Trypanosomatida; Trypanosomatidae. The record is from RNAcentral.